AGGGUGAGACCUGAUGCCGAGCCGAUUGUGGUGAAGUGGAUGAUCCUAUGCUGUCGAGAAAAGCCUCUAGCGAGUUUCAAGGCGGCCCGUACCCUAAACCGACUCAGGUGGUCAGGUAGAGAAUACCGAGGCGUUCGGGUGAACUAUGGUUAAGGAACUCGGCAAAAUGCCCCCGUAACUUCGGGAGAAGGGGGGCCAUUCCUGGUGAUCGUCUUUACGAUGUGAGCUGGGGGUGGCCGCAGAGACCAGCGAGAAGCGACUGUUUACUAAAAACACAGGUCCGUGCGAAGCCGUAAGGCGAUGUAUACGGACUGACGCCUGCCCGGUGCUGGAACGUUAAGGGGACCGGUUAGUGACCUUUCGGGGUUGCGAAGCUGAGAACUUAAGCGCCAGUAAACGGCGGUGGUAACUAUAACCAUCCUAAGGUAGCGAAAUUCCUUGUCGGGUAAGUUCCGACCUGCACGAAUGGCGUAACGACUUCUCGACUGUCUCAACCAUAGGCCCGGUGAAAUUGCACUACGAGUAAAGAUGCUCGUUUCGCGCAGCAGGACGGAAAGACCCCGGGACCUUUACUACAGUUUGAUAUUGGUGUUCGGUUCGGCUUGUGUAGGAUAGGUGGGAGACUUUGAAGCGGCCACGCCAGUGGUUGUGGAGUCGUUGUUGAAAUACCACUCUGGUCGUGCUGGAUGUCUAACCUGGGUCCGUGAUCCGGAUCAGGGACAGUGUCUGAUGGGUAGUUUAACUGGGGCGGUUGCCUCCUAAAGAGUAACGGAGGCGCCCAAAGGUUCCCUCAGCCUGGUUGGUAAUCAGGUGUUGAGUGUAAGUGCACAAGGGAGCUUGACUGUGAGACCGACGGGUCGAGCAGGGACGAAAGUCGGGACUAGUGAUCCGGCGGUGGCUUGUGGAAGCGCCGUCGCUCAACGGAUAAAAGGUACCCCGGGGAUAACAGGCUGAUCUUCCCCAAGAGUCCAUAUCGACGGGAUGGUUUGGCACCUCGAUGUCGGCUCGUCGCAUCCUGGGGCUGGAGUCGGUCCCAAGGGUUGGGCUGUUCGCCCAUUAAAGCGGUACGCGAGCUGGGUUUAGAACGUCGUGAGACAGUUCGGUCCCUAUCCGCUGUGCGCGUAGGAGUCUUGAGAAGGGCUGUCCCUAGUACGAGAGGACCGGGACGGACGAACCUCUGGUGUGCCAGUUGUCCUGCCAAGGGCAUGGCUGGUUGGCUACGUUCGGAAAGGAUAACCGCUGAAAGCAUCUAAGCGGGAAGCCUGCUUCGAGAUGAGGACUCCCACCCCCUUUGAGGGGUUAAGGCUCCCAGUAGACGACUGGGUUGAUAGGCCGGAUCUGGAAGCCAGGUAACUGGUGGAGGUGACCGGUACUAAUAGGCCGAGGGCUUGUCCAU
RNAcentral lists this ribosomal RNA (1396 nucleotides) under Streptomyces tsukubensis. Its description in RNAcentral is "partial 23S ribosomal RNA". It matches the Rfam family "Bacterial large subunit ribosomal RNA", at positions 1553 to 2925 of the family's 2925-position model. The record is from RNAcentral. Lineage: Bacteria; Bacillati; Actinomycetota; Actinomycetes; Kitasatosporales; Streptomycetaceae.